Seriola aureovittata is the source of this 177-nucleotide long non-coding RNA. RefSeq lists it as uncharacterized. NCBI's taxonomy places the organism in Eukaryota, Metazoa, Chordata, Actinopteri, Carangiformes, Carangidae. The record is from RefSeq and is a predicted model, not a curated record. The transcript is spliced from 2 exons.
GUAUAGUAAGGCAUAAAAAGUCAAAAAAAGUCAUAGUAUAGUAAGGCAUAAAAAUGCAAAAAAACGUCAUUGUAUAGUAAGGCAUAAAAAGUCAUAGUAUAGUAAGGCAUAAAAACAACAUAAAAACUCAUAGUAUAGUAAUGCAUAAAAAGUCAUAGUAUAGUAAGGCAUAAAAAG